AGCAGUCGCCGCGGGAAUACGUAGGGCGCAAGCGUUAUCCGGAAUUAUUGGGCGUAAAGAGCUCGUAGGCGGUUUGUCGCGUCUGCCGUGAAAGUCCGGGGCUCAACCCCGGAUCUGCGGUGGGUACGGGCAGACUAGAGUGAUGUAGGGGAGACUGGAAUUCCUGGUGUAGCGGUGAAAUGCGCAGAUAUCAGGAGGAACACCGAUGGCGAAGGCAGGUCUCUGGGCAUUAACUGACGCUGAGGAGCGAAAGCAUGGGGAGCGAACAGGAUUAGAUACCCCAGUAGUCCCUGUCUCUUAUAC
Molecule: ribosomal RNA, 303 nt
Filed under: uncultured bacterium
Lineage: Bacteria
Description: partial 16S ribosomal RNA
Rfam family: Bacterial small subunit ribosomal RNA
Source: RNAcentral